GUCAUCAAAAGAGUUGACAUGUUACUAUGUACAUUUACCAUUAUGUUACUUGAUGUUCUUGCAAUACACACAGUACGGUGACUAUUCAAUCUUUGUGAACUAUUUUUCAUAGGAUGGGAGUCAUUGAAUAUGCGUAUAUAAUCAAUAAUUAAAAAUAGUCUAUUUAUAUUAAAAAGGAAAAGUUCUUUUAUGUCUUAAAAAUGCAUUUCAUGGCAAGGUACAGAAAAUAUACUGUAAACAGUAGACUAUAAAUAUAGGUGAACUAGGUACAAGAGAACUCUAAAUCUUAAAUACUACAAACCACCUCUGUACUAUGGAAGAUAAUGAUAAAGCUGACUAGAAAUACACACAACCUGUAAUUAACUGCCUUUACAGCGCUUUCGCGC
Molecule: long non-coding RNA, 386 nt
Filed under: Mytilus galloprovincialis (Mediterranean mussel)
Lineage: Eukaryota; Metazoa; Mollusca; Bivalvia; Mytilida; Mytilidae
Source: RNAcentral